This 378-nucleotide long non-coding RNA is filed under the name Nicotiana benthamiana. Its description in RNAcentral is "long non-coding RNA (NBEN_LNC037982)". The record is from RNAcentral. Lineage: Eukaryota; Viridiplantae; Streptophyta; Magnoliopsida; Solanales; Solanaceae.
UGCUAGACAGAAUUGCAUUAAAAUCUCCUGCAAUGAUCCAGGGAUCAGUAAUACCAGCAGAUAAGUUUAGAAUAGACUUCCACAGCAUCCUCCUUUGAUCACAGUCAUUAAAUCCAUAGACUACUGUAAGCCAGCAGAUAAUAUCCCCAGUGAUAGUUUGAUCUUUACAAUGAAUGAGCUGAGCUUCCUCAAGAUAUCCAGUAACCACCACUUUUGUAGAGUCCCACAUGAUCCAUAUCCUCCCAUUUACUGCUCCACUAUAGUUAGUAAUCAUGUUCCAAUUAGGCACAAAAAAACUAGCUAUUCUACUAGCAUUGUGUUGUUUAACCUUAGUCUCUACAAGUCCUACAAGGUCAAACUUAUUAUUUCUAAAGUAAU